CCUACGGGAGGCAGCAGUGGGGAAUAUUGGGCAAUGGAGGCAACUCUGACCCAGCAACGCCGCGUGAAUGAUGAAGGUCUUCGGAUUGUAAAGUUCUUUUCUAAGGGAAGAAGAAAGUGACGGUACCUUAGGAAUAAGCCUCGGCUAACUACGUGCCAGCAGCCGCGGGAAUACGGAGGGGGCAAGCGUUAUCCGGAAUGACUGGGCGUAAAGGUGGCGUAGGUGGUUUGACAAGUUAGUAGCGCAACUCCGGAGCUCAACUUCGGAACUACUACUAAAACUGUUGGACUUGAGUGCAGGAGGGGCAAUCGGAAUUCCUGGUGUAGCGGUGGAAUGCGUAGAUAUUAGGAGGAACACCAGUGGCGAAGGCGGAUUGCUGGACUGUAACUGACACUGAGGCACGAAAGCGUGGGGAGCGAACAGGAUUAGAUACCCCUGUAGUC
Molecule: ribosomal RNA, 443 nt
Filed under: uncultured bacterium
Lineage: Bacteria
Description: partial 16S ribosomal RNA
Rfam family: Bacterial small subunit ribosomal RNA
Source: RNAcentral